CUCAGCAAUGUGUGCACUUGGUCCCUUGUUUGUUCCUGGCUGGGUCAGGGAAGGCCUGCCGGGGGUGGUGGCACUGAGAGCCUGGGGGAACAGGCGCCAGGCCAGCUGGCCAGGCACUGGUGGGCUGGGGAGCAGCAGCAGCACACCCCACGUGUCCCUGGGUCACUGGGUUCGCCACCGGGGAAGGGACGGGGAGGCCACAUGCUCAUGCAGACACAGGGAGUUAGAGGCUAGUGAGGCCCCACGGUACACUCCACAUGUUAAGGCAUCAUGGUUAGACGGGACCGACAGCGACAAGGGGGCUGGCCAGGGAGCAGCGGGGCUGGAGGACGGCCCGGCCCCCACGAGGCCGUGCAUCCCACACCCCAGCUCCACCCCGGAGCAGCAGACGCACACGUCCAGGGGCAACCACGGGGCCUGGAGAAUGGCUGCUCCGCUCCCUCCUGAA
This 448-nucleotide long non-coding RNA is filed under the name Homo sapiens (human). RNAcentral's name for it is "HSALNT0392186". Lineage: Eukaryota; Metazoa; Chordata; Mammalia; Primates; Hominidae. The record is from RNAcentral.